RNAcentral lists this ribosomal RNA (473 nucleotides) under uncultured bacterium. Its description in RNAcentral is "bacterial SSU rRNA". It matches the Rfam family "Bacterial small subunit ribosomal RNA", at positions 62 to 543 of the family's 1533-position model. The record is from RNAcentral.
UCGAGCGAGAAAGUGUAGCAAUACAUGAGUACAGCGGCGCACGGGUGAGUAACACGUGGAUAACCUGCCUCAAAGUGGGGAAUAACACCGGGAAACCGGUGCUAAUACCGCAUAUUCUGACGAGGUCUGCGGAUUUCGUCAGGAAAGGAGCAAUUCGCUAUGAGAGGGGUCCGCGGCUGAUUAGCUAGUUGGUGAGGUAAUGGCUCACCAAGGCCACGAUCAGUAGCCGGUCUGAGAGGACGGUCGGCCACACUGGAACUGAGACACGGUCCAGACUCCUACGGGAGGCAGCAGUGGGGAAUUUUUCGCAAUGGGGGCAACCCUGACGAAGCAAUGCCGCGUGGAUGAUGAAGUCUCUUGGGACGUAAAAUCCUUUCGACAGGGACGAAACCGCAAGGUUGACGGUACCUGUAGAAGAAGCCCCGGCUAACUCCGUGCCAGCAGCCGCGGUAAUACGGGGGGGGCAAGCGUUG